AGAAGAGAGAGAACACAGGUAGAGGAGAAGAAGAGAGAGAAACACAGGUAGAGGAGAAGAGGAGAGAGAACACAGGUAGAGAAGAGAGAGAACACAGGUAGAGGAGAAGAAGAGAGAGAACACAGGUAGAGUAGAAGAAGAGAGAGAACACAGGUAGAGGACUGGAGGACAGAGAACAGGUAGAGGAGUGGAGGACAGAGAACAGUAGAGGAGUGGAGGACAGAGAACAGGUAGAGGACUGGAGGACAGAGAACAGGUAGAGGACUGGAGGACAGAGAACAGGUGGAGGAGUGGAGGACAGAGAACAGGUGGAGGAGUGGAGGACAGAGAACAGGUAGAGGAGUGGAGGACAGAGAACAGGUAGAGGACUGGAGGACAGAGAACAGGUAGAGGACUGGAGGACAGAGAACAGCUGGAGGAGUGGAGGACAGAGAACAGGUAGAGGACUGGAGGACAGAGAACAGGC
This is a long non-coding RNA of Oncorhynchus tshawytscha (Chinook salmon), 466 nucleotides long. NCBI's taxonomy places the organism in Eukaryota, Metazoa, Chordata, Actinopteri, Salmoniformes, Salmonidae. The record is from Ensembl.